Molecule: ribosomal RNA, 986 nt
Filed under: Salmonella enterica
Lineage: Bacteria; Pseudomonadati; Pseudomonadota; Gammaproteobacteria; Enterobacterales; Enterobacteriaceae
Description: partial 23S ribosomal RNA
Rfam family: Bacterial large subunit ribosomal RNA
Source: RNAcentral
GAAGCGACGUCAAAGCGUAUACAAAGUCGAGUCGGUUUAAGGAUACGUUCGUUGGGUAGGGGAGCGUUCUGUAAGCCUGUGAAGGUGUGUCGUGAGGCAUGCUGGAGGUAUCAGAAGUGCGAAUGCUGACAUAAGUAACGAUAAAGCGGGUGAAAAGCCCGCUCGCCGGAAGACCAAGGGUUCCUGUCCAACGUUAAUCGGGGCAGGGUGAGUCGACCCCUAAGGCGAGGCCGAAAGGCGUAGUCGAUGGGAAACGGGUUAAUAUUCCCGUACUUGGUGUUACUGCGAAGGGGGGACGGAGAAGGCUAUGUUGGCCGGGCGACGGUUGUCCCGGUUUAAGCGUGUAGGUGUGUGUUCCAGGUAAAUCCGGUUCACUUUAACACUGAGGCGUGACGACGAGGCACUACGGUGCUGAAGCAACAAAUGCCCUGCUUCCAGGAAAAGCCUCUAAGCAUCAGGUAACAUCAAAUCGUACCCCAAACCGACACAGGUGGUCAGGUAGAGAAUACCAAGGCGCUUGAGAGAACUCGGGUGAAGGAACUAGGCAAAAUGGUGCCGUAACUUCGGGAGAAGGCACGCUGACACGUAGGUGAAGUGAUUUACUCAUGGAGCUGAAGUCAGUCGAAGAUACCAGCUGGCUGCAACUGUUUAUUAAAAACACAGCACUGUGCAAACACGAAAGUGGACGUAUACGGUGUGACGCCUGCCCGGUGCCGGAAGGUUAAUUGAUGGGGUCAGCGCAAGCGAAGCUCCUGAUCGAAGCCCCGGUAAACGGCGGCCGUAACUAUAACGGUCCUAAGGUAGCGAAAUUCCUUGUCGGGUAAGUUCCGACCUGCACGAAUGGCGUAAUGAUGGCCAGGCUGUCUCCACCCGAGACUCAGUGAAAUUGAACUCGCUGUGAAGAUGCAGUGUACCCGCGGCAAGACGGAAAGACCCCGUGAACCUUUACUAUAGCUUGACACUGAACAUUGAGCCUUGAUGUGUAG